Molecule: long non-coding RNA, 279 nt
Filed under: Mytilus galloprovincialis (Mediterranean mussel)
Lineage: Eukaryota; Metazoa; Mollusca; Bivalvia; Mytilida; Mytilidae
Source: RNAcentral
AUAUCUCAUGUAUUAGUCCAAAUAAUUAUGACGUCUGGCAAGGCUAUUUUAUUAUUUUUCUGGGACGCCUUCCUACGACGUUCGUAGGAAGGCGUCCCAGAAAAAAAAUUAAUAUAGCCUUGCGGUCAUAGGAAGGUGUUCCAGAAUAAAAUUAAAAAAGCCUUGCCAGACGUAAUAAUUAUUUGGACUACUCAUAUAUAUAUAUAUCAUUAAAAAUACACCAAAAAAGUCAUUAGUUGAGAAAAAUAAAUAUAUACAAAAUGUACAUGAACACCCAAA